UAUGCUUUACACAUGCAAGUCGAACGGGCUUGGGGGCUUGCUCCCAGGUUAGUGGCGAACGGGUGAGUAAUAUAUCGGAACAUAUCCGGAAGUGGGGGAUAAGCGUAAUCGAAAGUUGACGCUAAUACCGCAUAUGCCCUGACCGGGAAAGGGGGGGAUCGCAAGACCUCUCGGCUUUCGGACGUGGCCGAUACCGGAUUAUGCUAGAUGGUGAGGUAGAAGGCUCACCAUGGCGACGAUCCGAUAGACGGGUCUGAGAGGACGACCCGCCACACUGGAACUGAGACACGGUCACAGACUCCUACAGGGAGGCAGCAGUGGGGAAUUGUUGGACUAAUGGGCGCAAGCCUGAUCCAGCCAUACCGCGUGAGUGAAUGAAGUCCUUACGGGUUGUAAAGCUCUUUCAGCCGGAAAGGAAAUUGGCUUCUAUUUAAUACUAAGGAAUAGAUGACGGUACCGGAAGAAGAAGCACCGGCUAACUACGUGCCAGCAGCCGCGGUAAUACGUAGGGUGCGAGCGUUAAUCGGAAUUACUGGGCGUAAAGCGUGCGCAGGCGGUUUGGUAAGACAAUGUAAAACCCCGGGCUUAACCUGGGAACUGCAUUUGUGACUGCCAGACUAGAGUGUAGCAGAGGGGGGUAGAAAUCCACGUGUAGAAGUNAAAUGCGUAAAGAUGUGGAGGAAUAACGAUGGCGAAGGCAGCCCCCUGGGCUAAACACUGACGCUCAUGCGCGAAAGCGUGGCGAGCAAACAGNAUUAGAUACCCUGGAAAGACCACGCCCUAAACGAUGUCAACUAGGGGUUGGGGAAGGAGACUUCAUUUAGUACCGCAGCUAACGCGUGAAGUUGACCGCCUGGGGAGUACGGUCGCAAGAUUAAAACUC
Molecule: ribosomal RNA, 883 nt
Filed under: uncultured Gallionella sp.
Lineage: Bacteria; Pseudomonadati; Pseudomonadota; Betaproteobacteria; Nitrosomonadales; Gallionellaceae
Description: bacterial SSU rRNA
Rfam family: Bacterial small subunit ribosomal RNA
Source: RNAcentral